UACGUAGGGCGCGAGCGUUGUCCGGAAUUAUUGGGCGUAAAGGGCUCGUAGGCGGUCUGUUGCGUCGGGAGUGAAAACUCAGGGCUUAACCCUGAGCCUGCUUCCGAUACGGGCAGACUAGAGGUAUGCAGGGGAGAACGGAAUUCCUGGUGUAGCGGUGAAAUGCGCAGAUAUCAGGAGGAACACCGGUGGCGAAGGCGGUUCUCUGGGCAUUACCUGACGCUGAGGAGCGAAAGUGUGGGGAGCGAACAGG
RNAcentral lists this ribosomal RNA (253 nucleotides) under uncultured bacterium. Its description in RNAcentral is "partial 16S ribosomal RNA". It matches the Rfam family "Bacterial small subunit ribosomal RNA", at positions 524 to 776 of the family's 1533-position model. The record is from RNAcentral.